AUUGAACGCUGGCGGCAGGCCUAACACAUGCAAGUCGGACGGUAGCACAGAGAGCUUGCUCUUGGGUGACGAGUGGCGGACGGGUGAGUAAUGUCUGGGGAUCUGCCCGAUAGAGGGGGAUAACCACUGGAAACGGUGGCUAAUACCGCAUAACGUCGCAAGACCAAAGAGGGGGACCUUCGGGCCUCUCACUAUCGGAUGAACCCAGAUGGGAUUAGCUAGUAGGCGGGGUAAUGGCCCACCUAGGCGACGAUCCCUAGCUGGUCUGAGAGGAUGACCAGCCACACUGGAACUGAGACACGGUCCAGACUCCUACGGGAGGCAGCAGUGGGGAAUAUUGCACAAUGGGCGCAAGCCUGAUGCAGCCAUGCCGCGUGUAUGAAGAAGGCCUUCGGGUUGUAAAGUACUUUCAGCGGGGAGGAAGGCGACGCGGUUAAUAACCGCGUCGAUUGACGUUACCCGCAGAAGAAGCACCGGCUAACUCCGUGCCAGCAGCCGCAGUAA
This 504-nucleotide ribosomal RNA is filed under the name uncultured bacterium. RNAcentral's name for it is "partial 16S ribosomal RNA". It matches the Rfam family "Bacterial small subunit ribosomal RNA", at positions 29 to 523 of the family's 1533-position model. The record is from RNAcentral.